Molecule: ribosomal RNA, 517 nt
Filed under: uncultured bacterium
Lineage: Bacteria
Description: bacterial SSU rRNA
Rfam family: Bacterial small subunit ribosomal RNA
Source: RNAcentral
UAGUCCACGCCCUAAACGAUGUCUACUAGUUGUCGGGUUUUCAUUAACUUGGUAACGCAGCUAACGCGUGAAGUAGACCGCCUGGGGAGUACGGCCGCAAGGUUAAAACUCAAACGAAUUGACGGGGACCCGCACAAGCGGUGGAUGAUGUGGAUUAAUUCGAUGCAACGCGAAGAACCUUACCAGGCCUUGACAUCCUAGGAAUCCUUUAGAGAUAGAGGAGUGCCUUCGGGAAUCUAGUGACAGGUGCUGCAUGGCUGUCGUCAGCUCGUGUCGUGAGAUGUUGGGUUAAGUCCCGCAACGAGCGCAACCCUUGUCCUUAGUUGCCAGCACGUUAUGGUGGGAACUCUAAGGAGACUGCCGGUGACAAAACCGGAGGAAGGUGGGGAUGACGCCAAGUCAUCAUGGGCCCUUAUGGCCUGGGGCUACACACGUGCUACAAUGGUGGGAUACAAAAGGGGUUGCCAAACCUGCGAGGGGGAGCGUAAAUCUCAGAAAAAUCCAAUCUCAGUCCGGG